RNAcentral lists this ribosomal RNA (289 nucleotides) under uncultured Campylobacter sp. Its description in RNAcentral is "partial 16S ribosomal RNA". Lineage: Bacteria; Pseudomonadati; Campylobacterota; Epsilonproteobacteria; Campylobacterales; Campylobacteraceae. The record is from RNAcentral.
CUACCCGGGUAUCUAAUCCUGUUUGCUACCCACGCUUUCACGCCUCAGCGUCAGUUAGGUUCCAGCAGAUCGCUUUCGCAAUGGGUAUUCUUCUUGAUCUCUACGGAUUUUACCCCUACACCAAGAAUUCCAUCUACCUCUCCCCUACUCUAGACUAUCAGUUUCCUAAGCAGUUUAGUGGUUAAGCCACUAGAUUUCACAAAAGACUUGAUAAUCCGCCUACGCGUCCUUUACGCCCAGUGAUUCCGAGUAACGCUUGCACCCCCCGUAUUACCGCGGCUGCUGGCAC